RNAcentral lists this transfer RNA (74 nucleotides) under Planctomycetota bacterium. RNAcentral describes it as "tRNA-Val". It matches the Rfam family "tRNA". From Rfam's summary of the family: Transfer RNA (tRNA) molecules are approximately 80 nucleotides in length. Their secondary structure includes four short double-helical elements and three loops (D, anti-codon, and T loops). Further hydrogen bonds mediate the characteristic L-shaped molecular structure. tRNAs have two regions of fundamental functional importance: the anti-codon, which is responsible for specific mRNA codon recognition, and the 3' end, to which the tRNAs corresponding amino acid is attached (by aminoacyl-tRNA synthetases). tRNAs cope with the degeneracy of the genetic code in two manners: having more than one tRNA (with a specific anti-codon) for a particular amino acid; and 'wobble' base-pairing, i.e. permitting non-standard base-pairing at the 3rd anti-codon position. The record is from RNAcentral. RNAcentral also lists the same sequence under 3 other names. Lineage: Bacteria; Pseudomonadati; Planctomycetota.
GGGCGAUUAGCUCAGUUGGCUAGAGCGCCGCCCUUACAAGGCGGAAGUCGGCGGUUCGAGCCCGUCAUCGCCCA